UACAGAGGUCCCAAGCGUUGUUCGGAUUCACUGGGCGUAAAGGGUGCGUAGGCGGUCGGGUAAGUCUGAUGUGAAGUCUCACAGCUUAACUGUGAAACUGCAUUGGAUACUAUCCGGCUCGAGGAAUGGAGGGGAGACUGGAAUACUUGGUGUAGCAGUGAAAUGCGUAGAUAUCAAGUGGAACACCAGUGGCGAAGGCGAGUCUCUGGACAUUUCCUGACGCUGAGGCACGAAAGCCAGGGGAGCAAACGGG
This 253-nucleotide ribosomal RNA is filed under the name uncultured bacterium. RNAcentral describes it as "partial 16S ribosomal RNA". It matches the Rfam family "Bacterial small subunit ribosomal RNA", at positions 524 to 776 of the family's 1533-position model. The record is from RNAcentral.